GUGAUUUGCCCAGUGAUCUGCCCAGAUCAAGCCAAAGCAGAAACCUGGAGGCAACAGGCAGAAGUGAUAUGUGCAGUGAUUUGCCCAGGACACUCGAGGACACUGGCCAAAUCACUCGCAGAAGACAGAGAGAACUGACUGGCAGAAACGUGAUCAGGUCUGUGAUUUGCCCAAUCCCUUGAAGAAACUGGUCAAAUCGCCGGGCAAAUCACUUCGACAGCAGAAAAUACAGCAGAGCGGGAAAUUGUUCAGGAAACCGAAUUUCAAGUUUUCAGAAGUCCAAAUCCAACUCAAUCACUACCAAAACAAUUCCAAGAGCCACGAAAGAGUUUCUCACCUAAGGAAUUCCAGUUGCAAUUAAAUUCAACAUCAAAAGAGGAGUCACAAGCCAAAUUAAAAAGGGAAUUCAAAACCCUAGAAGGAUGAAACUCUUCAACUAUAAAAGGGCAACCUCCAAACCAGCAAAGGCAUCUUCUGCUGAGGAAUUGAACUCGCCAAAAACUCUCCAGCAUCUUCCUUUUUCUUUUCCUUUCAUCUUUUUGUGUAUUUAGUCCACCAUGAGUGGCUAAACUCUUUUCUUUUCUAGUUGAAGUUGAGAAUAUUCAGAUUUGNNNNN
This 616-nucleotide long non-coding RNA is filed under the name Manihot esculenta (cassava). RNAcentral's name for it is "long non-coding RNA (MESC_LNC003089)". The record is from RNAcentral. Lineage: Eukaryota; Viridiplantae; Streptophyta; Magnoliopsida; Malpighiales; Euphorbiaceae.